GUACUUCCUUCGACAAUACUUAAACUAAAAUUGGAAAGAUACGGAGAAGAUUAGCAUGCGCAAUGAUGACACGCAAAAUCGUGAAGCGUUCCACAUUAUU
RNAcentral lists this small nuclear RNA (100 nucleotides) under Bombyx mori (domestic silkworm). The record is from RNAcentral. Lineage: Eukaryota; Metazoa; Arthropoda; Insecta; Lepidoptera; Bombycidae.